Molecule: ribosomal RNA, 398 nt
Filed under: uncultured bacterium
Lineage: Bacteria
Description: bacterial SSU rRNA
Rfam family: Bacterial small subunit ribosomal RNA
Source: RNAcentral
AUUGAACGCUGGCGGCAUGCUUUACACAUGCAAGUCGAACGGCAGCACGGGUGCUUGCACCUGGUGGCGAGUGGCGGACGGGUGAGUAAUACAUCGGAACGUAUCCAGAAGAGGGGGAUAACGCAUCGAAAGAUGUGCUAAUACCGCAUAUUCUCUGAGGAGGAAAGCAGGGGAUCGAAAGACCUUGCGCUUUGGGAGCGGCCGAUGUCUGAUUAGCUAGUUGGUGGGUAAAGGCCUACCAAGGCGACGAUCAGUAGUUGGUCUGAGAGGACGACCAGCCACACUGGGACUGAGACAGGCCCAGACUCCUACGGGAGGCAGCAGUGGGGAAUUUUGGACAAUGGCGGCAAGCCUGAUCCAGCAAUGCCGCGUGAGUGAACGAAGGCCUCGUGUAGUAG